This 253-nucleotide ribosomal RNA is filed under the name uncultured bacterium. RNAcentral describes it as "partial 16S ribosomal RNA". It matches the Rfam family "Bacterial small subunit ribosomal RNA", at positions 524 to 776 of the family's 1533-position model. The record is from RNAcentral.
GACAGAGGUUGCAAGCGUUGUUCGGAAUUACUGGGCAUAAAGCGCACGUAGGCGGUCCGCUAAGUCAUGUGUGAAAUCCCCCGGCUCAACCGGGGAAUGGCGCCUGAUACUGGCGGACUCGAGAUCGGUAGGGGUGAGUGGGACUCCAGGUGGAGCGGUGAAAUGCGUAGAUAUCGGGAGGAACACCAAUGGCGAAGGCAGCUUGCUGGGACGGUACUGACGCUGAGACGCGAAAGCGUGGGGAGCAAACAGG